UGAGAGCGAUGAAAUAAGAGGUUGCUACGAUAAAUAAAACGUAGGUUUUCUUAUGGAGCGAUGUCUAGUUCAAGAAACUGACGACAA
This 87-nucleotide non-coding RNA is filed under the name marine eukaryotic metagenome. RNAcentral's name for it is "S10-Clostridia ribosomal protein leader". It matches the Rfam family "S10-Clostridia ribosomal protein leader". The record is from RNAcentral.